GAUUAGCCUGUAUUGUAUCAGUUAGUUGGUGGGGUAAUGGCUUACCAAGACUAUGACACAUAACUGGUUUGAGAGGAUGAUCAGUCACACUGGAACUGAGACACGGUCCAGACUCCUACGGGAGGCAGCAGUGGGGAAUAUUGCACAAUGGACGAAAGUCUGAUGCAGCAACGCCGCGUGGAGGAUGACACAUUUCGGUGCGUAAACUCCUUUUAUAUGAGAAGAUAAUGACGGUAUUAUAUGAAUAAGCACCGGCUAACUCCGUGCCAGCAGCCGCGGUAAUACGGGGGGUGCAAGCGUUACUCGGAAUCACUGGGCGUAAAGAGCAUGUAGGCGGAUUAAUAAGUUUGAAGUGAAAUCCUAUAGCUUAACUAUAGAACUGCUUUGAAAACUGUUAAUCUAGAAUGUGGGAGAGGUAGAUGGAAUUUCUGGUGUAGGGGUAAAAUCCGUAGAGAUCAGAAGGAAUACCGAUUGCGAAGGCGAUCUACUGGAACAUUAUUGACGCUGAGAUGCGAAAGCGUGGGGAGCAAACAGGAUUAGAUACCCUGGUAGUCCACGCCCUAAA
RNAcentral lists this ribosomal RNA (565 nucleotides) under uncultured bacterium. RNAcentral describes it as "bacterial SSU rRNA". It matches the Rfam family "Bacterial small subunit ribosomal RNA", at positions 224 to 806 of the family's 1533-position model. The record is from RNAcentral.